Molecule: non-coding RNA, 127 nt
Organism: Otolemur garnettii (small-eared galago)
Lineage: Eukaryota; Metazoa; Chordata; Mammalia; Primates; Galagidae
Source: Rfam
AAACGUAUUACACCUGGGAUUUAGGUGCUUUAAUCUGAAAAAGUACAUAUUCCCUCAGCAUUCUAGAGGAUUUGAGACUAUCCUUCCCUGAACUAAAGCUAGAAUCUUUCAGGAUUGGAGAAUUAAG